GAGCGAUCCAUCUUCGGAUGGGGAGCGGCAAACGGGGUAGUAACAUGUGGGAACGUACCUUCUAGUCAGGAAUAACUGCGAGAAAUCGUAGCUAAUACUUGAUAGUCCCUCAGGGGUAAAGAUUUAUCGCUAGAAGAGCGGCCCGCACAGUAUCAGCUAGUUGGUAAGGUAAAAGCUUACCAAGGCUUCGACGCUUAGGGGAGGUGAGAGCCUGACCCCCACCAUUGGCACUGAGACACUGGCCAAACUCC
RNAcentral lists this ribosomal RNA (251 nucleotides) under uncultured bacterium. RNAcentral describes it as "partial 16S ribosomal RNA". It matches the Rfam family "Bacterial small subunit ribosomal RNA", at positions 64 to 339 of the family's 1533-position model. The record is from RNAcentral.